Molecule: ribosomal RNA, 637 nt
Filed under: Carinibracon sp.
Lineage: Eukaryota; Metazoa; Arthropoda; Insecta; Hymenoptera; Braconidae
Description: partial 28S ribosomal RNA
Rfam family: Eukaryotic large subunit ribosomal RNA
Source: RNAcentral
GAGAAACCCAAAAGAUCGAAUGGGGAGAUUCAUCGUCAGCUCAUUUUGUAUAUAUGCAAGUUAUGAUAUGGGUUACUACUUGUAGUAUUGCUUAUACAUUCUUGUAUAUUUAUUUGCAAGAUGUUGUCGGCGUGCACUUCUCCCCUAGUAGGACGUCGCGACCCGUUGAGUGUCGGUCUACGGCCCAAGUGGGAGCUUUUAAUGAAUUUUAUUUAUUGAAAACCCUUGGUGUUUUCUGACUGGCACUCGUCGGUAUUCGUAUGGUAUUGAGCCGCAUAUUAUAUGCGUCCCUAUCCGUCGCAAGCGAGGUUAGUUACUGAUAGUGCGGACCUAGUGCCGUCGUUGGUCCUAAUCAGCUGUUGGUUGUAUGGAAUUCUAGGACUGGCUCGUUGAAAUACCGGUCAGCGAUGCUACUGCUUUGGGUACUUUCAGGACCCGUCUUGAAACACGGACCAAGGAGUCUAACAUGUACGCGAGUCAUUGGGAUUUUUAUAAAUUAAACCUAAAGGCGUAAUGAAAGUAAAGGUCGUCCUUGUGUCGACUAAGGGAGGAUGGGCUAUGUUACGAGAUAGCUCCGCACUCCCGGGGCGUCUCAUUCUCAUUGCGAGAAGAGGCGCACCUAGAGCGUACACGUUGG